AUUGAACGCUGGCGGCAGGCCUAACACAUGCAAGUCGAGCGGAUGAGUGGAGCUUGCUCCAUGAUUCAGCGGCGGACGGGUGAGUAAUGCCUAGGAAUCUGCCUGGUAGUGGGGGACAACGUUUCGAAAGGAACGCUAAUACCGCAUACGUCCUACGGGAGAAAGCAGGGGACCUUCGGGCCUUGCGCUAUCAGAUGAGCCUAGGUCGGAUUAGCUAGUAGGUGAGGUAAUGGCUCACCUAGGCGACGAUCCGUAACUGGUCUGAGAGGAUGAUCAGUCACACUGGAACUGAGACACGGUCCAGACUCCUACGGGAGGCAGCAGUGGGAAUAUUGGACAAUGGCGAAAGACCUGAUCAGCCAUGCCGCGUGUGUGAAGAAGGU
RNAcentral lists this ribosomal RNA (383 nucleotides) under uncultured bacterium. RNAcentral describes it as "bacterial SSU rRNA". It matches the Rfam family "Bacterial small subunit ribosomal RNA", at positions 30 to 415 of the family's 1533-position model. The record is from RNAcentral.